UCCCCUUUUGGGGGGAGAAGUUCUCAGCAGCCCCCAUUUCCCUGUUAACCUGGUGUCGCCUCUUUUCUUUUGCAGACCAAAGACAAAUAGCAAAGUAAAUCCAGAAAGGCCUGAGCGGCCCAAGGGGAAAAACAGCAUUGGACACAAAAACAAAAAGAAGAGACCCCCUGAACAGGACUCCCCUCACCUGUCCUCCUGCCCGCCCUGCUUGGACAAACGGAAGCGCCAGGAUCCUCAGACAUGCCAGUGCCGCUGCCGGCGCAGGUCCCAGCACUGCCGGGACCGGGGCUUGGAGCUCAAUGAGCACUCGUGCAGGUGUGAGAAGCUGCGCAGAUGAUCUGACGGGGGAGGGGGGUGACGUGAGACCAGCCUCUCCCGCCCCCAAGCCCAGCUCUUCGCUGGAACCAGGACAAGACUCUGGCCCUGAGCUCCCCCUGCUGGAGAGGAGCCCAAGGAAGAUGAGCAACGCUGUCCAGGAAUGGACCUG
This 487-nucleotide long non-coding RNA is filed under the name Gopherus agassizii (Agassiz's desert tortoise). RNAcentral's name for it is "lncRNA (ENSGAGG00000019354.1)". The record is from RNAcentral. Lineage: Eukaryota; Metazoa; Chordata; Testudines; Testudinidae.